RNAcentral lists this ribosomal RNA (396 nucleotides) under uncultured bacterium. Its description in RNAcentral is "bacterial SSU rRNA". It matches the Rfam family "Bacterial small subunit ribosomal RNA", at positions 521 to 916 of the family's 1533-position model. The record is from RNAcentral.
UAAUACGAAGGGGGCUAGCGUUGCUCGGAAUGACUGGGCGUAAAGGGCGCGUAGGCGGCGCACUUAGUCGGGCGUGAAAGUCCUGGGCUCAACCUGGGGACGGCGCUCGAUACGGGUGUGCUUGAGUGGGGAAGAGGGUCGUGGAAUUCCCAGUGUAGAGGUGAAAUUCGUAGAUAUUGGGAAGAACACCGGUGGCGAAGGCGGCGACCUGGUCCUUGACUGACGCUGAGGCGCGAAAGCGUGGGGAGCAAACAGGAUUAGAUACCCUGGUAGUCCACGCCGUAAACGAUGUGCGCUGGAUGUUGGGAAACUUUGUUUCUCAGUGUCGUAGCCAACGCGAUAAGCGCACCGCCUGGGGAGUACGGCCGCAAGGUUGAAACUCAAAUGAAUUGACGG